Molecule: long non-coding RNA, 1555 nt
Organism: Heterocephalus glaber (naked mole-rat)
Lineage: Eukaryota; Metazoa; Chordata; Mammalia; Rodentia; Bathyergidae
Source: Ensembl
UGGAAGUUAUGGGACUUUGAAAGAGAGGUAAAUGUUAAAAACAGUAUGGAUACAAAUUCUACGUUUUUGUCCGGUUACUGAGUAGACUGGGAGUUUUGUACAAAAAAUAGUCAUCAGAAGAUGAUUCUGAGGUUUCUAACAUGAAAAUAUAUGAUUUCAUUUACCCAAGAUGUAGAACAAAUGUGAAAAGCACUGGGGAUUGAACCCAGGCCCAAGGCCUUCCAGUCCUUGUUAAAUUUUGAAAUAGGGUUUGAAUUGCCCAGGCUGGCUUCAGAUUUACUAUUCCUCCUCCUACCCCCCGAGUGCUGGGAUCACAGGCUUGCAGGGCCGUACUGGAACGUCCUAGGCAUUCUCUUACUUUCCCAUUCACACUUCAGUCCUUGACUUUGACUGCGAAGACUGAAAGACUGUCUUUCACUUCAACGAUAUUUCCUGUAUAGCCUUAUAGUUCCUCAUCAUUAUUUAACUUCUUUUAAUACUUAGUACUUUGUACUGAAGAUGUCUUACUUAUUAUUGCCUCACCCAUUAGGAUCUUUCUUUUUUUGGUACUGGGGAUUGAACUCGGGACCUUGCACUUGCAAGGCCAGCGCUGGAACCACUAAAGCUAAAUCCCCAGCCCACAUUAGGAUUUCUUGAGGACUAGGACGGUGUGGCUAACAGUUUAUGACUGCUACUUAAUAACUCAAGCACAUUUCCUCUUUUUCAACUAAAAAGACACUUAACACAAAAAAAUAAUGUGUGAGCCAAGCCUGGUGGCCAACGCCUGUAAUCUCAGCACUGGGGAGGCUGAGGCAGGAGGAUCCCUGUGAGUUCGAGGCCAGCCUUGGCUACAUAGUGAAUUCAGUGCCAGCCUGAACCACCCAGUAUCAAAGCCUCAGUUUUAAAGAACUAAACCCUCCAAGAGAACAGACAAAUGUUAGGAGUUCUAGAAAGAAAAUGGAACACCAUGGUGGCUGAUAGAAAUGGAUUGAACUCGGGACCUUGCGCUUGCGAGGCAGGCGGCAGAACCACUGAGCUAAAUCCCCAGCCCUUGUAACAACUAAUAUUAUUGAAAGAAAGUUACAUUAUCUUCAUUCGAUGAACAUUGGAAACGACAAUUUCUACAUGUGUGAAGGAUAUAUUGAAGGCUUGUGGUUUACAGACAAGAUCUUUAGAAAUUAGACACUCAAGGACCAGGUAAAUAAAUACCAGAAACCAAGAAUACUUUUCUUCAUCAGUCCGCACAACCCUCACCCUUCUGUAAUUCCAUCAAACACAGAGAAAUGACCACCUUGGCAAAUGGCCACAGAGGAUGUCAACCAUUUUUUGGAGGCAACUAGCUGAACCACUGAGCUAAAUCCCCGGCCCAAAAAAGUGCCAUAGUUUUCAGAGAAGAAGAUUGGAUUAAAAAACUUGAGUUUAGGAAAGGUGAGUUCAAGACAUUUGAAGAAUUUGAUAGUUAAGUUUUAAAAAGACAGUCACUUGAAGUUGGAACGUUGGGCAGUCAUUAUUACUUUCUGCAAGUAUUCUUCUGAGUUUUUUUUUUUUAAGCAACUCUGCUAGUGGGGAACUAAGG